ACGGGGUGCAGCAGGCGCGAAAACUUUGCAAUAAGCGAAAGCUUGACAGGGCUAUCCCGAGUGCCAUCCGCUGAGGAAGGCUUUUACCCAGUCUAGAACGCUGGGGGAAUAAGGAGAGGGCAAGUCUGGUGUCAGCCGCCGCGGUAAUACCAGCUCUCCGAGUGGUGUGGAUGUUUAUUGGGCCUAAAGCAUCCGUAGCUGGCUAAGUUAGUCCCCUGUUAAAUCCACCGAAUUAAUCGUUGGAUUGCGGGGGAUACUGCUUGACUAGGGGACGAGAGAGGCAGACGGUAUUUCCGGGGUAGGGGUGAAAUCCUAUAAUCCCGGGAAGACCACCAGUGGCGAAGGCUGUCUGCUAUAACGCGCCCGACGGUGAGGGAUGAAAGCUGGGGGAGCGAACCGGAUUAGAUACCCGGGUAGUCCCAGCUGUAAACGAUGCAGACUAGGUGUUUGAACGGCCACGUGCCGUUCUAGUGCCGCAGGGAAGCUGUUAAGUCUGCCGCCUGGGGAGUACGAUCGCAAGAUUGAACUUAAAGGAAUUGGCGGGGGAGCAC
This 551-nucleotide ribosomal RNA is filed under the name uncultured archaeon. Its description in RNAcentral is "bacterial SSU rRNA". It matches the Rfam family "Archaeal small subunit ribosomal RNA", at positions 325 to 879 of the family's 1478-position model. The record is from RNAcentral.